UUCCUUGAACCGCAUGGUUCAAGGAUGAAAGACGGUUUCGGCUGUCACUUACAGAUGGACCCGCGGCGCAUUAGCUAGUUGGUGGGGUAAUGGCUCACCAAGGCGACGAUGCGUAGCCGACCUGAGAGGGUGAUCGGCCACACUGGGACUGAGACACGGCCCAGACUCCUACGGGAGGCAGCAGUAGGGAAUCUUCCGCAAUGGACGAAAGUCUGACGGAGCAACGCCGCGUGAGUGAUGAAGGUUUUCGGAUCGUAAAGCUCUGUUGUUAGGGAAGAACAAGUGCGAGAGUAACUGCUCGCACCUUGACGGUACCUAACCAGAAAGCCACGGCUAACUACGUGCCAGCAGCCGCGGUAAUACGUAGGUGGCAAGCGUUGUCCGGAAUUAUUGGGCGUAAAGGGCUCGCAGGCGGUUUCUUAAGUCUGAUGUGAAAGCCCCCGGCUCAACCGGGGAGGGUCAUUGGAAACUGGGAAACUUGAGUGCAGAAGAGGAGAGUGGAAUUCCACGUGUAGCGGUGAAAUGCGUAGAGAUGUGGAGGAACACCAGUGGCGAAGGCGACUCUCUGGUCUGUAACUGACGCU
This 584-nucleotide ribosomal RNA is filed under the name Bacillus pumilus. RNAcentral describes it as "bacterial SSU rRNA". It matches the Rfam family "Bacterial small subunit ribosomal RNA", at positions 173 to 747 of the family's 1533-position model. Lineage: Bacteria; Bacillati; Bacillota; Bacilli; Caryophanales; Bacillaceae. The record is from RNAcentral. RNAcentral also lists the same sequence under 1 other name.